RNAcentral lists this ribosomal RNA (1638 nucleotides) under Triticum aestivum (bread wheat). Its description in RNAcentral is "partial small subunit ribosomal RNA". The record is from RNAcentral. Lineage: Eukaryota; Viridiplantae; Streptophyta; Magnoliopsida; Poales; Poaceae.
AUGAGCAAGCCGCUCGGCCCCAAGAAUCGUGGUCUUUCCACUUAUGAAAAAGAAUGCAUUUCCAUUCUCAUGGUCGUCGAGCAAUGGCGCCCUUACCUGCACAACGACGAAUUCAUCAUUUGUACAGAUCAGAGAAGCCUCGUGCACCUCGAUGAUCAACACUUGUCCACCCCCUGGCAGCAGAAGGCGUUCACCAAACUGCUCGGGAUGCACUAUAAAAUCUGCUACCGCUCCGGAUCUUCAAACACUGCUGUUGAUGCGCUCUCGCCCCGCACCCCUGAUGAGCUCGUCGCGGCUGUGUCUGUCUGCACCCCGGCUUGGCUGGACGACAUCAUGGCGAGCUACAGCACAAAUCCACAAGUUCAGAAGAUCUUGGAAGAUUUGUCCAAACGACCGGACCCAAAAGGGCGUUUCUCCAUGCGCGAUGGCCUGCUCUACUUCCGCGAUCGGCUAUGGUUGGGCGGCUCUCCCGCCCUGCAGCAACGGAUGCUCCAUGCCUUCCACGACAGCACCAUGGGCGGCCACUCCGGCGUGCCAGUCACUUAUCGCCGUCUGCGUCACCUAUUCGCCUUGCCCAAGAUGAAAGAACACACUCGUCAGUACGUCCAGUCCUGCUCAGUCUGCCAGCAAGCAAAACCAGAGCACGUUCGCUACCCGGGACUUCUCGAACCUCUGCCGGUGCCAGACCGCGCCUGGAAGGUGGUCGCCAUGGAUUUCAUCAACGGUCUUCCUCCUUCAGGCAAGUACAAUUGCAUCCUCGUCGUUGUCAACAAAUUCACCCGCUACAGUCAUUUCCUCUCUCUGAGCCACCCAUUCACGGCGGCCAAGGUCGCACACGCCUACCUGGAGAACAUUUAUAAACUCCAUGGGCUCCCAGAGGCGAUCGUAUCGGACAGAGACCCAGUUUUCACAAGCAAGUUCUGGCAAGAGUUGUUCAAGAUCAUCGGAUCCGAGCUCAACAUGAGUACACCGUACCACCCUCAGACCGACGGGCAGUCAGAACACGUCAACCAGUGCCUGGAGAUAUACUUACGGUGUUUCAUGCAUGCCUGUCCAAGCAAAUGGCACCAGUACCUUGCACUCGCAGAAUUCUGGUACAACUCUUCCUUUCAUUCUUCCUUGGGCACCUCACCUUUUGUUGCACUAUAUGGGCAUGAACCAUGUCAUUGGGGCAUCGAGGCGGCCUCCACUUGCUCCAUUCCCUCACUCAAGGACUGGCUCGAGGAGCGCAAGCACAUGCAGCAGGUGCUAGCCGAGCACCUCCACCGGGCGCGCAACAUCAUGAAGGCACAGGCUGACAAGAAGCGCACUGAUCGCUCCUUCGUCGUCGGGGAUGCGGUCUUCGUCAAGCUUCAACCCUACGUGCAAACGACGGUGGCAUAUCGCGCCAACCACAAGCUCUCCUUCCGCUACUUCGGACCCUUCAAGAUCAUCCGCAUCGUCAACCCCGUCGCGUACGAACUGGAGCUUCCCGCCGGCGCCAAGGUCCACACCGUCUUCCACGUCUCUCAGCUAUGGCGAGCACUCUCCAACAACACGACGGUGGAAGACAAGCUGCCCACUCCACCGGAGGAACCACUGUCGCCGGUGGAGAUCAUCGACACACACUGGCACAACACCCCCCCAAGGCCGGCGUGA